AGGGAAUGGGCACUGUUCAAAAA
RNAcentral lists this non-coding RNA (23 nucleotides) under Cricetulus griseus (Chinese hamster). Lineage: Eukaryota; Metazoa; Chordata; Mammalia; Rodentia; Cricetidae. The record is from RNAcentral.